RNAcentral lists this ribosomal RNA (157 nucleotides) under Cathartes aura (turkey vulture). Its description in RNAcentral is "partial 12S ribosomal RNA". The record is from RNAcentral. Lineage: Eukaryota; Metazoa; Chordata; Aves; Accipitriformes; Cathartidae.
GCAUCCGCCUGAGAACUACGAGCACAAACGCUUAAAACUCUAAGGACUUGGCGGUGCCCCAAACCCACCUAGAGGAGCCUGUUCUAUAAUCGAUAAUCCACGAUACACCCGACCGUUCCUUGCCAAAGCAGCCUACAUACCGCCAUCUUCAGCAAAC